Long non-coding RNA from Prosopis cineraria, 448 nucleotides. RefSeq lists it as uncharacterized. Lineage: Eukaryota; Viridiplantae; Streptophyta; Magnoliopsida; Fabales; Fabaceae. The transcript is spliced from 3 exons. The record is from RefSeq and is a predicted model, not a curated record.
UGAGAAAGGAAGCAAACGCACAAACGGGAGAGAGAGAGAGAGGAAGAAGAGAAGAGAAAGGGAGGGAGUUAGGCUUGGAUCUAGGAGUCUUUGCGACCGUUGCGAGCUCGGCUACACGAUAGAAAAUUGUUGGUGGAACUUAUUGAGAAGUAAGGAACAAGCCGAGCCCUAUUUUGUACAAGGGGAACUCUUUUAGUACCAAAGGGUUGAGGUCCAGGCGAAGGAUCCAGUGGUGGACGGGGAAAAGAGCAAAGCUAGGGGUUUGCUUGUGAUUUGUAAAGAACUGCAACCCCUUUCUUUUGAGCAAAUAUAUUGUAAUGUAUUUAAGAUUAGGGUGCCAGUAGGAUAUGAUUAUGUGUGUGUGUGUGAAUAUGUGUGGAUUGUGUGCUUGUGUAUGAAUUUUUGUCUGUUUGCAGACUUGUGGCUAGGAAACUUGGUUAUGGUGUGU